UUAUAUCUACAUACAUAUGAACAAUAUAUGGAUUAAUGAUAUGUUAUGUGCUAUCUUUUGGUUUGGCCUAUAUUAGUGGUCUUAUGGACAUUGUUAAGGGGGCCAAUAUAUUGUCAUAUAAAGUGUAGGACUAAUGUGUAGAUACCCAAAAGGGUAACCUUAGUUAAUGAUGGGCUAACUAAGGUUACAUACAUGUAACCAUGGUUACAUGCUUAUGGCUUUUGAGUUUCAUAACUAAUAUGUUAUAAGAGGGGGGUUAUGGUUCCCAUAAGUAUGCAAGACAUUCUCUUCUUCCUCCCAUUGAAACUAGAGAGCAUUUUGGUCUUGCAUAUCAAG
RNAcentral lists this long non-coding RNA (336 nucleotides) under Nicotiana benthamiana. Its description in RNAcentral is "long non-coding RNA (NBEN_LNC006513)". Lineage: Eukaryota; Viridiplantae; Streptophyta; Magnoliopsida; Solanales; Solanaceae. The record is from RNAcentral.